Eutrema salsugineum is the source of this 3854-nucleotide RNA transcript. It is a transcript of the gene named ISWI chromatin-remodeling complex ATPase CHR17, with no coding region annotated. The transcript is spliced from 26 exons. NCBI's taxonomy places the organism in Eukaryota, Viridiplantae, Streptophyta, Magnoliopsida, Brassicales, Brassicaceae. The record is from RefSeq and is a predicted model, not a curated record.
AGCAAACUCAAGAACCCUCGAUCUCAGACAAAAUCUGGAAUCGUAGAGAGGCGUCCAUGACGAGAGCUUCGAAGCGGGAACUUUCUUCAGACGAGGCUUGCUCGUCGGAGGAGCAAGUUAACGAUCAGGUCAAUGUGGAAGAAGAUGAUGAGGAGCUCGAGGCCGUUGCUCGCUCUGCGGACUCCAACGAGGAAGAUGUUGCCCUUGACGAAGCACCUGUCUCUGACGACGAGGUUGUCCCUGCAGAAGAUGACGCCGACGAGGAAGGAGUAGACGAGGAGAAAGCUGAAAUCAGCAAACGUGAGAAGGCCAGGCUUAGAGAAAUGCAGAAGAUGAAGAAGCAGAAAAUUCAGGAAAUUUUAGACGCCCAAAAUGCUUCCAUUGAUGCAGAUAUGAACAACAAAGGAAAGGGGAGAUUGACGUAUCUUCUGCAGCAAACUGAGUUAUUUGCACAUUUUGCUAAAAGUGAACCAUCGCCGUCUCAGAAGAAGGGGAAAGGAAGGGGUCGUCAUGCUUCCAAACUAACUGAAGAAGAGGAAGAUGAAGAGUGUUUAAAGGAAGAAGAGGGUGGUGUACCUGGAUCUGGAAGCACACGAUUGCUUACACAGCCCGCUUGUAUUCAGGGGAAAAUGAGAGACUACCAAUUAGCUGGUUUAAACUGGCUCAUUCGAUUGUAUGAAAAUGGGAUAAAUGGAAUUCUUGCAGAUGAAAUGGGUCUGGGGAAGACACUUCAAACAAUUUCUUUGUUGGCUUACCUGCAUGAAUACAGGGGAAUUAGUGGCCCUCAUAUGGUAGUUGCUCCAAAAUCAACCCUUGGUAACUGGAUGAAUGAAAUUCGCCGAUUUUGUCCCGUCCUGCGUGCUGUGAAAUUCCUUGGUAAUCCUGAGGAAAGGAGAUAUAUUCGUGAUGAACUGCUAGUUGCGGGGAAGUUUGACGUUUGCGUUACAAGCUUUGAGAUGGCUAUCAAAGAGAAGACAGCCUUGCGUCGCUUUAGCUGGCGUUAUAUAAUCAUUGAUGAAGCCCAUCGAAUCAAGAAUGAGAAUUCACUCCUUUCAAAAACCAUGAGACUUUUUAGCACUAACUACCGGCUUCUUAUCACGGGAACCCCACUUCAGAAUAAUCUCCAUGAGUUGUGGGCUCUUCUCAAUUUUCUUCUGCCCGAGGUUUUUAGUUCAGCAGAGACUUUUGACGAAUGGUUUCAAAUUUCUGGUGAAAGUGACCAGCAAGAAGUUGUUCAGCAGCUUCAUAAGGUUCUCCGACCAUUUCUUCUUCGGAGGUUAAAAUCGGAUGUAGAGAAAGGCUUACCUCCAAAAAAGGAGACGAUACUCAAAGUUGGCAUGUCUCAGAUGCAAAAACAGUACUACAAGGCGUUACUGCAAAAGGAUCUUGAAGUGAUUAAUGGUGGUGGAGAACGCAAACGUCUGCUGAACAUAGCAAUGCAGUUGCGCAAAUGCUGCAACCAUCCUUAUCUCUUCCAGGGUGCAGAGCCCGGUCCCCCCUAUACCACAGGAGAUCACCUUGUAACAAAUGCAGGUAAGAUGGUUCUCUUAGAUAAAUUGCUACCUAAGUUGAAGGAACGCGAUUCCAGGGUUCUGAUAUUUUCUCAGAUGACAAGGCUUCUGGAUAUUCUUGAGGAUUAUUUAAUGUAUCGUGGUUACCAGUACUGCCGUAUUGAUGGAAAUACUGGUGGUGACGAACGAGAUGCUUCCAUAGAAGCGUACAACAAGCCAGGAAGUGAAAAAUUUGUUUUCUUGUUAUCCACUAGAGCUGGAGGGCUUGGUAUCAAUCUUGCUACUGCAGAUGUUGUGAUCCUUUAUGACAGUGACUGGAAUCCUCAAGUUGACUUGCAAGCUCAAGAUCGUGCACAUAGGAUUGGUCAAAAGAAAGAAGUUCAAGUAUUCCGGUUCUGCACCGAGAAUGCUAUUGAGGAAAAAGUGAUAGAGAGAGCUUACAAGAAGUUGGCACUUGAUGCUCUGGUAAUUCAGCAAGGGCGUUUGGCAGAACAGAAAACCGUUAAUAAGGAUGAGUUACUCCAAAUGGUGAGAUAUGGUGCCGAGAUGGUGUUUAGUUCUAAAGAUAGCACAAUUACGGAUGAGGAUGUUGACAGAAUCAUUGCCAAAGGAGAAGAGGCGAAGGCUGAACUUGAUGCGAAGAUGAAGAAAUUCACUGAAGAUGCAAUACAGUUUAAAAUGGACGACAGUGCUGACUUUUAUGAUUUUGACGAGGACAAUAAGGAUGAGAACAAGUUUGAUUUUAAGAAGAUUGUAAGUGAGAAUUGGAAUGAUCCACCAAAAAGAGAGAGAAAGCGCAACUACUCUGAAACUGAAUACUUCAAGCAAACAUUGCGCCAAGGUGCUCCAGCUAAACCUAAAGAGCCUAGAAUUCCUCGCAUGCCCCAGUUGCAUGAUUUCCAGUUCUUCAACAUUCAGAGAUUGACCGAGCUAUAUGAAAAGGAAGUGCGACACCUUAUGCAAACACAUCAGAAAACUCAGAUGAAAGACACAGUUGAAGUUGAUGAACCUGAAGAAGUUGGAGAUCCCUUAACUGCUGAAGAAGUGGAAGAAAAGGAGCAAUUGUUGGAAGAGGGUUUCUCAACAUGGAGCAGAAGAGACUUCAAUACCUUCAUUAGAUCUUGUGAGAAGUAUGGCCGGAACGACAUAAAAAGUAUUGCCUCUGAGAUGGAAGGAAAAACAGAGGAAGAGGUUGAACAAUAUGCUCAAGUUUUUAAAGAGCGAUACAAGGAGCUGAAUGAUUAUGAUAGAAUCAUCAAGAAUAUUGAGAAAGGGGAAGGAAGAAUCACUCGGAAAGAUGAAAUCAUGAAAGCUAUUGGAAAGAAACUAGAUCGCUACAGAAACCCGUGGCUGGAACUGAAGAUUCAGUAUGGACAGAACAAAGGGAAGCUGUACAAUGAAGACUGUGACCGUUUCAUGAUAUGCAUGGUCCAUAAACUUGGGUAUGGAAACUGGGAUGAGCUAAAGGCGGCUUUUCGGACAUCCCCCUCGUUCAAGUUUGACUGGUUUGUAAAAUCCCGAACAAGUCAGGAACUUGCCAGGAGAUGCGACACGCUGAUCCGGCUGAUUGAGAAAGAGAACCAAGAGUAUGAUGAGAGAGAGAGGCAAGCCCGUAAAGAAAAGAAGCUUGCAAAGAGUGCAACGCCUUCAAAGCGAGCUUUGGCUAGGCAAUCAAAUGAGAGCAAUCCAUCAUUGAAGAAACGAAAGCAGCUGUCAAUGGAUGAUUUUGUGAGCUCGGGAAAGCGUAGGAAAUAAGGAGACAUUAGUUGAAUCCAUUCGGCUUACGCAGAUUGUGGUUACUUUCCGUUUUAGAUUGUGGCUGCUUUCAGUUUUAGGUAUGAUUCCAAAUCAGAGAUUUGGUUAUAAGGCCAACCUGAUAUUUUGUAUUCACAAAUAUCCUCAACAGCAUUAUUUUUGGCUACUCUCUUUGCUCGUACGUGUAAUAUCAUUUUAACCUUUGUAGAAUCUAUAUAUGUGUAACACAUUCCUAGCUUCAGCAGUCGUUACUCUAUAAAUACUCGUUACUCUAUAAAUACAUCUCAGUUCUGCGUUUGUGAUCCCUCCUUAAAUUCUCUACAGGAGUGACAAUGGUAAGAAGCUGACUUAGAUUGUAAGACUCACUUCUUUUCUUUUUCUCUCUUUCCGAGAGACUCGAAUCCAUACACAGGAUACAUUAAAAAUAGAACAGAAAAAGAAACAUAAAAAUCGACUCAAAUUCUCCCUCCCAUUACAUAUACAACCCAUUUUGGAAAAAAAGAAAAAAAAACCCCAAAAACAUGACUUGAAAAAACCUUUUCUUUCCCCUCCUAAUCGUCCAACAUCUCUCUACUCAUCAUCUCUUCC